CUGCGCCUUCCAACCUUGGAAGAGUUGGCCAGGACCCCAAGGCCCCAGCACUUCAUCCUUGCCGUCCUCUCCUAGUCUGGGAGGAUAGGGGAGAAGACAGGAAGAAUGAAGUGCUGGGAGCUUCGGGGCUUCCCAGCCAACUCUUCCAAGCCCGGAGACCAG
This 162-nucleotide microRNA precursor is filed under the name Callithrix jacchus (white-tufted-ear marmoset). Its description in RNAcentral is "microRNA cja-mir-5191 precursor". Lineage: Eukaryota; Metazoa; Chordata; Mammalia; Primates; Cebidae. The record is from miRBase by way of RNAcentral.